This 452-nucleotide ribosomal RNA is filed under the name uncultured Bacteroidales bacterium. Its description in RNAcentral is "bacterial SSU rRNA". It matches the Rfam family "Bacterial small subunit ribosomal RNA", at positions 917 to 1370 of the family's 1533-position model. The record is from RNAcentral. Lineage: Bacteria; Pseudomonadati; Bacteroidota; Bacteroidia; Bacteroidales.
GGGCCCGCACAAGCGGAGGAACAUGUGGUUUAAUUCGAUGAUACGCGAGGAACCUUACCCGGGCUCGAACGGCUAUUGGAUAUAGUAGAGAUAUUAUAGACCUUCGGACAAUAGUCGAGGUGCUGCAUGGUUGUCGUCAGCUCGUGCCGUGAGGUGUCGGCUUAAGUGCCAUAACGAGCGCAACCCUUGUCGUUAGUUGCCAUCAGGUAAAGCUGGGGACUCUAGCGAGACUGCCACCGUAAGGUGUGAGGAAGGGGGGGAUGACGUCAAAUCAGCACGGCCCUUACGUCCGGGGCGACACACGUGUUACAAUGGGUGGUACAGAGGGUAGCUAUACAGUGAUGUAAUGCGAAUCUCUAAAGCCAUUCUCAGUUCGGAUUGGAGUCUGCAACUCGACUCCAUGAAGUUGGAUUCGCUAGUAAUCGCGCAUCAGCCAUGGCGCGGUGAAUACG